Molecule: ribosomal RNA, 716 nt
Filed under: Corynebacterium tuberculostearicum
Lineage: Bacteria; Bacillati; Actinomycetota; Actinomycetes; Mycobacteriales; Corynebacteriaceae
Description: bacterial SSU rRNA
Rfam family: Bacterial small subunit ribosomal RNA
Source: RNAcentral
CACCAUGCAGUCGAACGGAAGGCCCUGCUUGCAGGGUACUCGAGUGGCGAACGGGUGAGUAACACGUGGGUGAUCUGCCCUGCACUUCGGGAUAAGCCUGGGAAACUGGGUCUAAUACCGGAUAGGAGCCAUUUUUAGUGUGAUGGUUGGAAAGUUUUUUCGGUGUAGGAUGAGCUCGCGGCCUAUCAGCUUGUUGGUGGGGUAAUGGCCUACCAAGGCGGCGACGGGUAGCCGGCCUGAGAGGGUGGACGGCCACAUUGGGACUGAGAUACGGCCCAGACUCCUACGGGAGGCAGCAGUGGGGAAUAUUGCACAAUGGGCGCAAGCCUGAUGCAGCGACGCCGCGUGGGGGAUGACGGCCUUCGGGUUGUAAACUCCUUUCGCUAGGGACGAAGCUUUUUGUGACGGUACCUAGAUAAGAAGCACCGGCUAACUACGUGCCAGCAGCCGCGGUAAUACGUAGGGUGCGAGCGUUGUCCGGAAUUACUGGGCGUAAAGGGCUCGUAGGUGGUUUGUCGCGUCGUCUGUGAAAUUCCGGGGCUUAACUCCGGGCGUGCAGGCGAUACGGGCAUAACUUGAGUACUGUAGGGGUAACUGGAAUUCCUGGUGUAGCGGUGAAAUGCGCAGAUAUCAGGAGGAACACCGAUGGCGAAGGCAGGUUACUGGGCAGUUACUGACGCUGAGGAGCGAAAGCAUGGGUAGCGAACAGGAUAAAC